This 253-nucleotide ribosomal RNA is filed under the name uncultured bacterium. RNAcentral's name for it is "partial 16S ribosomal RNA". It matches the Rfam family "Bacterial small subunit ribosomal RNA", at positions 524 to 776 of the family's 1533-position model. The record is from RNAcentral.
UACGUAGGGUCCGAGCGUUGUCCGGAAUUAUUGGUCGUAAAGGGCUCGUAGGCGGUUUGUCGCGUCGGGAGUGAAAACUCAGGGCUCAACCCUGAGCGUGCUUCCGAUACGGGCAGACUAGAGGUAUGCAGGGGAGAACGGAAUUCCUGGUGUAGCGGUGGAAUGCGCAGAUAUCAGGAGGAACACCGGUGGCGAAGGCGGUUCUCUGGACGAUAACUGACGCUGAGACGCGAAAGCUAGGGGAGCGAACAGG